GAUGAACGCUGGCGGCGUGCCUAAUACAUGCAAGUCGAGCGAACGGACGAGAAGCUUGCUUCUCUGAUGUUAGCGGCGGACGGGUGAGUAACACGUGGAUAACCUACCUAUAAGACUGGGAUAACUUCGGGAAACCGGAGCUAAUACCGGAUAAUAUUUUGAACCGCAUGGUUCAAAAGUGAAAGACGGUCUUGCUGUCACUUAUAGAUGGAUCCGCGCUGCAUUAGCUAGUUGGUAAGGUAACGGCUUACCAAGGCAACGAUGCAUAGCCGACCUGAGAGGGUGAUCGGCCACACUGGAACUGAGACACGGUCCAGACUCCUACGGGAGGCAGCAGUAGGGAAUCUUCCGCAAUGGGCGAAAGCCUUACGGAGCAACGCCGCGUGAGUGAUGAAGGUCUUCGGAUCGUAAAACUCUGUUAUUAGGGAAGAACAUAUGUGUAAGUAACUGUGCACAUCUUGACGGUACCUAAUCAGAAAGCCACGGCUAACUACGUG
RNAcentral lists this ribosomal RNA (497 nucleotides) under uncultured bacterium. Its description in RNAcentral is "partial 16S ribosomal RNA". It matches the Rfam family "Bacterial small subunit ribosomal RNA", at positions 28 to 507 of the family's 1533-position model. The record is from RNAcentral.